Molecule: non-coding RNA, 586 nt
Organism: Misgurnus anguillicaudatus (oriental weatherfish)
Lineage: Eukaryota; Metazoa; Chordata; Actinopteri; Cypriniformes; Cobitidae
Source: RefSeq, a predicted model, not a curated record
AGAGGGUCACUGUGGGAAAGGAUGUCUCUCUUUGGUGUAAUCAUGAAGGGAACUUGACAUGGAGUAAAGAAAGAGAUGGAACAAGAAUAGACAUUCUCACUGCAGAAAAAGAUGGAGAGAUAAGAAAACUAAUUUCAGAUCCUCAUAAGCGUUAUAGUUUAUUGGAUGAUUUAUCACUACACAUAAAGAGUGUUUCACUCUCAGACUCUGGAUUUUAUUCCUGUUAUGAAGCUCCAACUGUGAAUCUGACAGUAACAGCACCAGAUUCAAACACAUCCAACGACAGGCAACCAGGAGCCACCACACCAACACAAGAUCAAACUACAGGUUUCAGCCACAGUCAACCAGAAGGCACAACACCAUCACAAGACACAUCUGCCAAGAAAUAUUAUUGUACAAAAGAAGAAAUCAAGUAGCCAUUUGGAGGACACUGUUUAUGCUGUUCAGAUUUAUUACAAAAACUGUAAGAAUCACCUUAUUUGAUCCUGUCUGUGAAAUGCAGGCUAAACUUGUAAAAUCCAAUAUUGAGAUUAGGAGUUUCAAUGUUUGAUUUUAAUAAUGUAUUUCACAUUUCAAGCAUUAAAGG